Molecule: ribosomal RNA, 484 nt
Filed under: uncultured bacterium
Lineage: Bacteria
Description: partial 16S ribosomal RNA
Rfam family: Bacterial small subunit ribosomal RNA
Source: RNAcentral
AUUGAACGCUGGCGGCAGGCCUAACACAUGCAAGUCGAGCGGAUGAAGGGAGCUUGCUCCUGGAUUCAGCGGCGGACGGGUGAGUAAUGCCUAGGAAUCUGCCUGGUAGUGGGGGAUAACGUCCGGAAACGGGCGCUAAUACCGCAUACGUCCUGAGGGAGAAAGUGGGGGAUCUUCGGACCUCACGCUAUCAGAUGAGCCUAGGUCGGAUUAGCUAGUUGGUGGGGUAAAGGCCUACCAAGGCGACGAUCCGUAACUGGUCUGAGAGGAUGAUCAGUCACACUGGAACUAAGACACGGUCCAGACUCCUACGGGAGGCAGCAGUGUGGAAUAUUGGACAAUGGGCGAAAGCCUGGUCCAACCAUGCCGCGUGUGUGAAGAAGGUCUUCGGAUUGUAAAGCACUUUAAGUUGGGAGAAAGGGCAGUAAGUUAAUACCUUGCUGUUUUGACGUUACCAACAGAAUAAGCACCGGCUAACUUCGUG